RNAcentral lists this ribosomal RNA (267 nucleotides) under Taenia hydatigena. RNAcentral's name for it is "partial small subunit ribosomal RNA". Lineage: Eukaryota; Metazoa; Platyhelminthes; Cestoda; Cyclophyllidea; Taeniidae. The record is from RNAcentral.
AUUUACUUUCGUUAUGUUAAUGUAUAUCUGGUUUAAUAUUAUGCUUGAGUAAGUGAGUUUGUGUAGUUUUAUUUAAGCCAAGUCUAUGUGCUGCUUAUGGAAGUAUUCAUGCGGUACAUUUAUAAGGUUUUGGUUGUAAUACUAAAAUAUUUAGGACUUAAAAGUAAUGUUCAAUAAGUUUGUGAGUGUGAAGUAAGUUUAGUUCAUGUACACACCGCUUAAUGAGGGCACUACUCUAAGGCAUGCAAGGUUCUAGCUAGGUGUUAC